CACCAGGCUGGGUGCAGUGGCACAUGCCUGUAAUCUCAGCAGCUUGGGAGGCUGAGGCAGGAGGAU
RNAcentral lists this microRNA precursor (66 nucleotides) under Ictidomys tridecemlineatus (thirteen-lined ground squirrel). RNAcentral describes it as "miRNA (ENSSTOG00000034853.1)". Lineage: Eukaryota; Metazoa; Chordata; Mammalia; Rodentia; Sciuridae. The record is from RNAcentral.